This is a non-coding RNA of Pangasianodon gigas (Mekong giant catfish), 82 nucleotides long. The record is from the annotation of a GenBank genome assembly. Lineage: Eukaryota; Metazoa; Chordata; Actinopteri; Siluriformes; Pangasiidae.
AAAUGAAUAAUUGCAGAUCAAGACAGUUUGAUAAAGUGAUAAUUUGAUAAUUUGAUAAAGUCAUAAACUUGAAUAUCAUUGU